AAAAGGGUGUCUCUUUCCCCACAGAUGUAACCAGGUUCCUGUGGAGGACACGGCUUUGCUAAGCCUGCCUGGCUUCUGUGUCCUCCUCUGGGCCUGAGUGCAGAGGGUGAGAGUCCACAUCCCCAGAACCAUGGGGACUGAACAGGAUUACUACAGAGCAGCAAAGAAGUGGGGCACCAAAGGAAAGAGUACACAACACCUUGUGAACACAGAAUUCUGGUGGACCCAGAAUAUGUGGGAGUUCAGUGAGACUUAAAGAGGAAAAGAUUUCUGC
Molecule: long non-coding RNA, 274 nt
Filed under: Homo sapiens (human)
Lineage: Eukaryota; Metazoa; Chordata; Mammalia; Primates; Hominidae
Description: non-protein coding lnc-INSIG2-1:1
Source: RNAcentral